Molecule: long non-coding RNA, 997 nt
Filed under: Homo sapiens (human)
Lineage: Eukaryota; Metazoa; Chordata; Mammalia; Primates; Hominidae
Description: HSALNT0184204
Source: RNAcentral
AAUCUCCUGUGCGAACCUCUUCUGUGCAGACACCUUCCCACCCAACCUCAACAGAGCCCUGUGGGCCUCCCACGCUGUGCUGUAAAUGAAAAUACAGCAGAAUCAGAUCUGUCCAAUAAAUCCUGAUUGAAGGCCAGAACUGAAAGUAUUUCUUCUGAGGCUGAGAAAAAUUCCAUCUCAAACAUUGAAAGGGUAGAAAUAGGCAGUGAAGUCCUAGUGCCUGCUCUGUUUGGCCUUUCUGGGUUAAAAACAUACUUAAAAUUGAGUGACUCUGUUGUGGAAUAAAAUCCAAACAAUCUGGGUUGAAAAAGACUGCUUAGGGGUGUGUGGGUCACAGUGAUGCUAAGGGUAUUCUUUUUUUUUUUUUUUUUUUUUUUUGAGACGGAGUCUUGCUGUUUCGCCCAGGCCAGAGUGCAGUGGCGCUGUCUUGGCUCACUGCAAGCUCUGCCUCCCAGGUUCAUGCCAUUCUCCCGCCUCAGCCUCCCGAGUAGCUGGGACUACAGGCGCUUGCCACCGCGUCCGGCUAAUUUUUUGUAUUUUUAGUAGAGACGGGGUUUCACCAUGUUCGCCAGGAUGGUCUCGAUCUCCUGACCUCGUGAUCUGCCCGCCUCGGCCUCCCAAAGUGCUGGGAUUACAGGCAUGAGCCACUGCGCCCGGCCCGCUAAGGGUAUUCUUGAUAUCCGCUGGGAUAAUGUGACCACAGGACACCUUGCUUGCUUUCUCCAAGAAUCUCAAGAAGACUACAAACCCCAAGAAGGGAGGCAUCUUGUUCAAGAUCAUGUUGGGGAUAGAAGACAGAGUGAGAAUGAGAAAGCAGAGAUGUUCAUUUGUUUUAUGAACAUUUACUUAUCUGCCAAGGUCUGUAGCCCUGGCCUUCCCUGUGAAGAGCAGCAGCCUGAACCAACGUUCAGUGGCCGGGGCUGCCGAGCCAGGACCUUACGGGGCUGCAGCCUGUGCUGACCCAGGGCCUCCACAGUGCUUUGCUUGCAGAUCCCCC